AUGACUGAACCACGACACUUUCAGGCAGCACUUCGCAUUCCACAUUGGCGUGUUGCUAUGGAGCAGGAGAUCCAUGCUCUUCAGCAGAACAACACUUGGCGUCUGGUUUCACCUCCAUCUGGUGUCAAUAUCAUUGAUUCUAAAUGGGUAUUUAAGGUGAAGAAACAUGCUGAUGGCUCCAUUGAGAGGUAUAAGGCACGCCUGGUUGCAAAGGGAUUCAAACAACGGUAUGGCAUUGAUUACGAAGACACAUUCAGUCCUGUUAUUAAACCAACUACUAUUCGUGUUCUUCUUUCCUUGGCUGUUACUCGAGGAUGGUCACUUCGACAGCUUGACGUUCAGAAUGCUUUUCUCCAUGGAGUUCUGGAAGAAGAGGUCUAUAUGCGUCAGCCGCCGGGGUUUGUUGAUCCUGAUCAGCCACAUCAUUUGUGUCAUUUUGUCAAGGCUCUCUAUGGGUUGAAGCAGGCCCCUCGUGCAUGGCAUGCAUGUCUUGGAGCUGCUCUUCGCGCGCAUGGUUUUGUGCCUUCUACAGUGGAUACGUCUCUGUUUAUUCUUCAGCGGCCUGAGGUGACUAUGUACAUUCUGGUCUACGUCGAUGAUAUCAUUCUUGUCAGUUCAUCUGCUGUUGCUACGGACCGGCUUGUGUCGUCUCUUGGUGCUGAGUUUGCUAUUAAGGAUCUUGGGAGACUCCAUUAUUUCCUGGGUUUGGAGGUGCUUCAUUCCGAUGGUGGUCUGGCCCUUUCUCAGAGGAAGUACUCUCAGGAUCUUCUACGUCGUGCUGGUAUCUUGCAGUGCAAGGUUGCCACGACUCCUAUGUCUGCCACAGAUAAGCUGACAGCUCUUGAUGGUGACUUGCUCUCUCCUGAGGAUGCUACAGAGUAUCGCAGUAUUGUUGGUGGGCUGCAGUACUUGCUCAUUACUCGACCAGACAUAUCUUUUGCGGUCAACCGUGUGUGCCAGUACCUUCAUGCACCUUGUGGACCUCACUGGUCUGCUGUUAAGCGCAUCUUGCGCUAUGUUCGUCACACCGGUUCAUAUGGUCUCUCGGGCUGCAUCUUCUGGACUGAUCUCAGCCUUUUCUGA
RNAcentral lists this ribosomal RNA (1083 nucleotides) under Triticum aestivum (bread wheat). RNAcentral describes it as "partial small subunit ribosomal RNA". Lineage: Eukaryota; Viridiplantae; Streptophyta; Magnoliopsida; Poales; Poaceae. The record is from RNAcentral.